RNAcentral lists this ribosomal RNA (2199 nucleotides) under Candidatus Kuenenia stuttgartiensis enrichment culture clone CH1. Its description in RNAcentral is "bacterial LSU rRNA". It matches the Rfam family "Bacterial large subunit ribosomal RNA", at positions 3 to 2127 of the family's 2925-position model. The record is from RNAcentral. Lineage: Bacteria; Pseudomonadati; Planctomycetota; Candidatus Brocadiia; Candidatus Brocadiales; Candidatus Brocadiaceae.
UCAAGCCAAUAAGGGUACAUGGUGGAUGUCUUGGCGCUGAGAGGCGAUGAAGGACGUGGAAGACUGCGAUAAGCUUCGGGGAGCUGCCAAACAAGCUUUGAUCCGGAGAUUUCCGAAUGGGGCAACCUACUAUAGGUUUAUGCUAUAGUAUCUACACCUGAAUAUAUAGGGUGUAGAGGCGAACGGAGAGAAUUGAAACAUCUUAGUAACUCCAGGAAAAGAAAGAGAAUUCGAUUUCCUUAGUAGCGGCGAGCGAAAAGGAAGAAGCCUAAACCAGCUAUGUGUCAAGCCCUUGUGCGUUGCAUAGUUGGGGUCGUGGGUGUUGCGGUGGCAGUACAAGGACUGCCUGUGAAGUUACAAAUGUAAUUUUUAGCUGAAUAGUACUGGAAAGAAUAACCAUAGAAGGUGAUAGUCCUGUAAGCGAAAAGAAUUACACUUCUAGCGUAAUUACCCGAGUAACACCCGUCUCGUGGAAGCGGGUGUGAAUUUAGGGAGUCCACUCUCUAAGGCUAAAUACUACUCAGCGACCGAUAGCGUACAAGUAGCGCGAGCGAAAGAUGAAAAGAACCCCUGUUAGGGGAAUGAAAUAGAACCUGAAACCGUGUACUUACGAGCGGUGGGAGCACUAUGAUUCUUUAAUAGAAUAAUGUGUGACCGCGUGCCUUUUGCAUAAUGAACCGGCGACUUAUUGUGUAUUGCAGGUUAAGUCUUUAUGGGACGAAGCCACAGCGAAAGCGAGUGUGAAAGCGCGAACUAUAUGUAGUACAUAAUAGACCCGAAACCAUGUGAUCUACCCUUGGUCAGGAUGAAGCGAAUGUAAAAAUUCGUGGAGGUCCGAACGCACUUGCGUUGAAAAGCGAGGCGAUGAACUGAGGGGAGGAGUAAAAGUCUAAUCAAACUUGGUGAUAGCUGGUUCUCUCCGAAAUAGCUUUAGGGCUAGCCUUAUGGCGUGAAUAUGAUGGGGGUAGAGAUACUGAAUAGAUUCUGGGGCCUACCAGGCUACCAAGUCCAAUCAAACUCCGAAUACCAUUAUAUAAGUCAUAGGAGACAGACAUUGGGGGAUAAGCUUCAUUGUCAAAAGGGAAACAGCCCAGACCGACAGCUAAGGUCCCUAAAAUAGACUAAGUGAUAAAGGAAGUGAGAGUGCAAAGACAGUUAGGAUGUUGGCUUAGAAGCAGCAAUCAUUUAAAAAGUGCGUAAUAGCUUACUAACCGAGCAUUCUUGCGCCGAAAAUAUUACGGGACUAAGUUUAUUACCGAAGCUUCGGAUUGUUCGAAUUAUUUAUAAUUUGAACAGUGGUAGGAGAGCGUUCUAUGUUAGGUUGAAGAGAGACUGUAAAGACUCUUGGACGAUAUAGAAGUGAUUAUGCCGGUAUAAGUAGCGAUAAUAUAAGUGAGAAUCUUAUUCGCCGUAAGCCUAAGGUUUCCUGGGGAAGGUAAAUCCGCCCAGGGUUAGCCGGAGCCUAAGUCGAGGCUGAAAGGCGUAGACGAUGGACAACAGGUUAAUAUUCCUGUGCUACCAUAAUAGCGUUGAACAUGGGGGGACAGAGGUGUAAAGGUUAGCAAGCCUAAUAGACACGGUUUGUUCAAGCCGGAGAUGUUAUUCCAGGAAAAUCCGGAAUGCUAAAACAUCGAUGGUGAGUACGUUGGCGUAAGCCUAUAAGUAACCGGAGCAUCUCUCAAGAAAAGCCUCGAUUGUGAGUUAUUGUGGUAUCCGUACUAAAACUGACACAGGUAGGCAGGGAGAGAAUCCUAAGGCGCUCGAGAGAACCCUCGUUAAGGAACUCGGCAAAAUUACUCCGUAACUACGGGAGAAGGAGUGCCUCAAGUAAAAUUGAGACCACAGUAAAAAGACCCGGGCGACUGUUUACUAAAAACACAGGUCUCUGCUAAGAUUUAAAAUCAACGUAUAGAGACCGACGCGUGCUCGAUGCCAGAAAGUUAAGGGGAUGGGUUAGUGUUUGAAAAGAUGCGAAGCUCAGAACCGAAGCUCUGGUGAAUGGCGGCUCUAACUAUGAGAGUCCUAAGGUAGCGAAGUUCCUUGUCGGCUAACUUCCGACGUGCAUGAAUCGCGUAACGACUUGGGUACUGUCUCAACGAGGGACUCGGCGAAAUUGUAGUCGUGGUGAAGAUGCCACGUACCCGCGGCAAGACGGAAAGACCCCGUGAACCUUUACUGUAGCCUAUUAUUGGGUUUUGG